RNAcentral lists this ribosomal RNA (336 nucleotides) under uncultured Geobacillus sp. RNAcentral's name for it is "bacterial SSU rRNA". It matches the Rfam family "Bacterial small subunit ribosomal RNA", at positions 1045 to 1382 of the family's 1533-position model. The record is from RNAcentral. Lineage: Bacteria; Bacillati; Bacillota; Bacilli; Caryophanales; Anoxybacillaceae.
AUGGUUGUCGUCAGCUCGUGUCGUGAGAUGUUGGGUUAAGUCCCGCAACGAGCGCAACCCUCGCCUCUAGUUGCCAGCAUUCGGUUGGGCACUCUAGAGGGACUGCCGGCGACAAGUCGGAGGAAGGUGGGGAUGACGUCAAAUCAUCAUGCCCCUUAUGACCUGGGCUACACACGUGCUACAAUGGGCGGUACAAAGGGCUGCGAACCCGCGAGGGGGAGCGAAUCCCAAAAAGCCGCUCUCAGUUCGGAUUGCAGGCUGCAACUCGCCUGCAUGAAGCCGGAAUCGCUAGUAAUCGCGGAUCAGCAUGCCGCGGUGAAUACGUUCCCGGGCCUU